This 468-nucleotide ribosomal RNA is filed under the name uncultured bacterium. Its description in RNAcentral is "partial 16S ribosomal RNA". It matches the Rfam family "Bacterial small subunit ribosomal RNA", at positions 28 to 507 of the family's 1533-position model. The record is from RNAcentral.
GACGAACGCUGGCGGCGUGCUUAACACAUGCAAGUCAAACGGAAAGGCCCUGCUUUUGUGGGGUUCUCGAGUGGCGAACGGGUGAGUAACACGUGAGUAACCUGCCCUUGACUGUGGGAUAAUUUCAGGAAACUGGGGCUAAUACCGGAUAGGAGCUCCUGCUGCAUGGUGUGGGUUGGAAAGUUUCGGCGGUGGGGGAUGGACUCGCGGCUUAUCAGCUUGUUGGUGGGGUAGUGGCUUACCAAGGCUUUGACGGGUAGCCGGCCUGAGAGGGUGACCGGCCACAUUGGGACUGAGAUACGGCCCAGACUCCUACGGGAGGCAGCAGUGGGGAAUAUUGCACAAUGGGCGGAAGCCUGAUGCAGCAACGCCGCGUGCGGGAUGACGGCCUUCGGGUUGUAAACCGCUUUCGCCUGUGACGAAGCGUGAGUGACGGUAAUGGGUAAAGAAGCACCGGCUAACUACGUG